AGUGAACGCUGGCGGUAGGCCUAACACAUGCAAGUCGAACGGCCGCACAGUAAGAGCUUGCUCUUACGGGUGGCGAGUGGCGGACGGGUGAGGAAUACAUCGGCAUCUACUUUUUCGUGGGGGAUAACGUAGGGAAACUCACGCUAAUACAGCAUACGACCUACGGGUGAAAGCAGGGGAUCUUCGGACCUUGCGCGAUUGAUUGAGCCGAUGUCGGAUUAGCUAGUUGGCUGGGUAAAGGCACACCAAGGCAACGAUCCGUAGCUGGUCUGAGAGGAUGAUCAGCCACACUGGAACUGAGACACGGUCCAGACUCCUACGGGAGGCAGCAGUGGGGAAUAUUGGACAAUGGGCGCAAGCCUGAUCCAGCCAUACCGCGUGGGUGAAGAAGGCCUUCGGGUUGUAAAGCCCUUUUGUUGGGAAAGAAAAGCAGCAGGUUAAUCCCCCGCUGUUCUGACGGUACCCAAAGAAUAAGCACCGGCUAACUUCGUG
Molecule: ribosomal RNA, 492 nt
Filed under: uncultured bacterium
Lineage: Bacteria
Description: partial 16S ribosomal RNA
Rfam family: Bacterial small subunit ribosomal RNA
Source: RNAcentral